AACCACUGAGCGACAGGACUACACUACAGGCAGUGAGCACAAUUUUCUGAUACCUGAGCUGCUCUUCAGCUCUUUUGUAGAAGGAUGUUUUUUGCCCGGAAGGAAAGAUGUACUCUGAAGAUAAAUCCACAUGUGUUAGUUCAUGUUGUAGAGACAAUUUAGGAAAUUAAAGAGCUG
This is a long non-coding RNA of Callorhinchus milii (elephant shark), 177 nucleotides long. RefSeq lists it as uncharacterized. The record is from RefSeq and is a predicted model, not a curated record. The transcript is spliced from 3 exons. NCBI's taxonomy places the organism in Eukaryota, Metazoa, Chordata, Chondrichthyes, Chimaeriformes, Callorhinchidae.